CACACGAGGGAUUGCCUUAGUUACGGCGAGUGAAGCGGCAAAAGCUCAAAUUUGAAAUCUGGCACCUUCGGUGUCCGAGUUGUAAUUUGAAGAAGGUAACUUUGGAGUUGGCUCUUGUCUAUGUUCCUUGGAACAGGACGUCACAGAGGGUGAGAAUCCCGUGCGAUGAGAUGCCCAAUUCUAUGUAAAGUGCUUUCGAAGAGUCGAGUUGUUUGGGAAUGCAGCUCUAAGUGGGUGGUAAAUUCCCAUCUAAAGCUAAAUAUUGGCGAGAGACCGAUAGCGAACAAGUACAGUGAUGGAAAGAUGAAAAGAACUUUGAAAAGAGAGUGAAAAAGUACGUGAAAUUGUUGAAAGGGAAGGGCUUGAGAUCAGACUUGGUAUUUUGCGAUCCUUUCCUUCUUGGUUGGGUUCCUCGCAGCUUACUGGGCCAGCAUCGGUUUGGAUGGUAGGAUAAUGACUAAGGAAUGUGGCUCUACUUCGGUGGAGUGUUAUAGCCUUGGUUGAUACUGCCUGUCUAGACCGAGGACUGCGUCUUUUGACUAGGAUGUUGGCAUAAUGAUCUUAAGCCACCCGUCUAAAACCUGGGACCAAAAAAAAAAAGGAUUAAAAAUUAAAUUUAAAUACA
Molecule: ribosomal RNA, 625 nt
Filed under: Debaryomyces hansenii
Lineage: Eukaryota; Fungi; Ascomycota; Pichiomycetes; Serinales; Debaryomycetaceae
Description: LSU rRNA
Rfam family: Eukaryotic large subunit ribosomal RNA
Source: RNAcentral